RNAcentral lists this non-coding RNA (46 nucleotides) under Trichobilharzia regenti. The record is from RNAcentral. Lineage: Eukaryota; Metazoa; Platyhelminthes; Trematoda; Strigeidida; Schistosomatidae.
GUACUGUUGAAGAGUCCCAAACUAGGACGAAACGGCUGUCCAAUAC